UACGGAAGGCAGCAGUGGGGAAUAUUGCACAAUGGGCGAAAGCCUGAUGCAGCUAUGCCGCGUGUAUGAAGAAGGCCUUAGGGUUGUAAAGUACUUUCAUCGGGGAGGAAAAACAAAACUAAUAAUUUUAUUUCUUGACGUUACCCGAAAAAGAAGCACCGGCUAACUCCGUGCCAGCAGCCGCGGUAAUACGGAGGGUGCUAGCGUUAAUCAGAAUUACUGGGCGUAAAGAGCACGUAGGUGGUUUUUUUAAGUUCAGAUGUGAAAUCCCUGGGCUUAACCUAGGAACUGCAUUUUGAAACUGAAAUACUAGAGUAUCGUAGAGGGAGGUAGAAUUCUAGGUGUAGCGGUGAAAUGCGUAGAUAUCUGGAGGAAUACCUGUGGCGAAAGCGGCCUCCUAAACCGAAUACUGACACUGAGGGUGCGAAAGCGUGGGGAGGCAAACAGGGAUUAGAUACC
This 459-nucleotide ribosomal RNA is filed under the name uncultured bacterium. RNAcentral describes it as "bacterial SSU rRNA". It matches the Rfam family "Bacterial small subunit ribosomal RNA", at positions 340 to 786 of the family's 1533-position model. The record is from RNAcentral.